This 402-nucleotide ribosomal RNA is filed under the name uncultured Hyphomicrobiales bacterium. RNAcentral's name for it is "uncultured Rhizobiales bacterium partial 16S ribosomal RNA". It matches the Rfam family "Bacterial small subunit ribosomal RNA", at positions 355 to 774 of the family's 1533-position model. The record is from RNAcentral. Lineage: Bacteria; Pseudomonadati; Pseudomonadota; Alphaproteobacteria; Hyphomicrobiales.
UGGGGAAUAUUGGACAAUGGGGGCAACCCUGAUCCAGCCAUGCCGCGUGAGUGAUGAAGGCCCUAGGGUUGUAAAGCUCUUUCGGCGGGGACGAUAAUGACGGUACCCGCAGAAGAAGCCCCGGCUAACUUCGUGCCAGCAGCCGCGGUAAUACGAAGGGGGCUAGCGUUGCUCGGAAUCACUGGGCGUAAAGCGCACGUAGGCGGAUCUUUAAGUCAGGGGUGAAAUCCCAAGGCUCAACCUUGGAACUGCCUUUGAUACUGGGGAUCUCGAGUCCGGAAGAGGUUGGUGGAACUCCGAGUGUAGAGGUGAAAUUCGUAGAUAUUCGGAAGAACACCAGUGGCGAAGGCGGCCAACUGGUCCGGUACUGACGCUGAGGUGCGAAAGCGUGGGGAGCAAACA